This 3546-nucleotide unclassified non-coding RNA is filed under the name Leishmania donovani. RNAcentral's name for it is "gene:LdHU3.14.0370(CDS-product:hypothetical_prote in_conserved)". Lineage: Eukaryota; Euglenozoa; Kinetoplastea; Trypanosomatida; Trypanosomatidae. The record is from RNAcentral.
CAGCGCGAAGGUAACCCACACACGUGCUCACAAAGACGUGCACGCGCUCCUUCUUCGCCCUCCCCUCCUGCAUUGUUUGUGCUGCCUCUCAGUGACGCAACGGGAGGGCGCGCUGUCGACGCGGCUGCAUCUCGCGUCAAGAAAAGCCGGACCUGCUUCUCCGUCACCUCAACUAAGGGCUUGGUGGGCCCCACAACGUGCCUUUCACACUCCUCCCCGCCCACACCGGUCGCUGCCACAGACGCCGCGCGCUACAGGGCCUGCAGCACCUCCUCGACCCUCGUGGCUCUCUCUCUCCCGUUCCUCCGACCUGGCAUGUUGUCUAGCGGCUUGGACGAGCAGUUUCUGCACCGCUGCUGCGUGCAGCUGUCGGCGCCGCUAGUCGACCCCGCGGUGCUGAGCACGGAGCAGGGCAACGCGACCCGGUUUGCAAAACAGCACGCCGCGGCCCACCCUCGCGAGGUUGCCCGCGCGCUCAUCUGGCGCGUCGUCGACAGUGCCGAUGACACGCUCGACCAGUCCGUGAACGAAGACCGCGCCGGGGCGUGGAGCGUGCUGACCGCUGUGAUUGCGGAGUGCGGCGACGCGAGCAGCGAGGUAUUCCGCACGUCGCUUGGGGACCAUCUGGCCUCUCUCCUGCCCUACCUCGUUGGAUAUCGCUGGCAUACGUCGGUGCGCAGCAUUCAGGAGGACGGGCUCCACAGCAGCGCCGAGGUUGUACUCAACUACGACAAGGUUGUCCCAGCGUCGCUGAUCAACGGCUUUAGCUCUCGCAACGUCGACUCGUACGCGGUGGCGACGAUGAACCGCCGCUACCGCAAGUACCUCACCCUGUGGAAGUCUGUGUGGCGCCCAGACGUGUAUCAGACACUGAAGGACAUGGUCAAGCGCGUCGAGGCGACCGGCAACUUCCUGCCUCCCAUGGCGGAGGAUGUGUUGGUCGUGCCGGACGGGUAUCGGGAGAGUCUGUGGCGGCUGCGCCGCACAGCGCCGCGGCCGAGCAUCACGCUGGAGCUGCUGCGCAACUAUGGGUGGCCAAUGACGAUGAUUCCGCGCGAGAACAACAACACGGUGCGGGCGCCGAGCUACGUGCUGCCGAAGACAGAGGCAGAGCUGCGCCAACUGGACCCGGCAAUGCACCGGACGGUGUUUCAGUGGCUCAAGACCAUGCAUCAGAAGCGCGGCGGGUGUGCUGGAUGCGAUUCCUGGGACCACACGGAUACCCGUUGCCCGUGCGAAGGGCCUUUCUGGCGCUCCCCGAGCGACGAGAACGCCAUGAAGACCCAUCGCGCGCUGGUCGCCACCGUCACCGGCGGCGCGGCGCUGCCGGUCUUGACCUACGUGCAGUCCGCCCGCAUCCUCUACGCGUCAAAUCUUCGGCUGCCGCUGCGCGUGCCGGAGGCCCUCGACACAAUCGCAAUGCUCAUCCGCGACGAGAAGCCCUACGAGGAGCUGCUCGCCGCCUUCGACACGGUGCGUGGUGCCGUGACAGGCCCGCGCGAGCGGCACGCCUUGUGGCGGCACGCCUCCUACCACCUGUUACCCUCCAAGACGGUGUUUGCGAAACCGCACGAUGAAGCGCUCAGCCCGUGCAUGAACAAGAUCCGCAACCUCUUCCGGAGCUCACGCCGUUUCCAGGAGUGGGAGCAGCUGAUGGACGCGGUAGACGUGCUUGACAUGUGCUUCCGCCGCCGCGAUGUGUCCAGUCGCGUUCGCCGUAACCUCGAAGAGGUGCAGGCAACGGCCUCGUUUUUCUUCUGUCUGGUGGACGGCUCCCUCGCGGCGAGCUUCAACCCUGCCACGUACGCGCGAGUGCCAGAGGAGGUCGAGGCGCUGGCCCCCCUAAAAGACAACCUAUGCCGUGUCUGCCUCGAGCCGUUCCACACGGCGGUAACCUGCCCCAUUGUUCGCGAAGACGAAGAGGCCGAGCACCGCCGCCACAGCACCGGCACCAGCGCGACGAAGCCCGUUAUCGAGGAGUGGGACCUGCAGGUGGCGCGCCGCGUUCUAGAGGACAACGAUUGCCUGUUCAUGAAGUACCCGGCGGAGGCGUACCGGCUCGCGGCCGCAAUGGAGCGCAUCGACGUGGACGACCGGCCUGCAAAGGACUUCCGCAAGGCUGAGCUGCAACUGGCGGUGAAGCUCAUCCAUGAGCGGCGCGUCGCCGUGUGCCCCCAAUGCAACGUAACCGGGCACAGCUUGCGCAACUGCGAGCGCCGCGCGUACCGCGCGCUGAGUCGAGAGUCGCUGCGGCCGAUCGACGUGCGGCUUGACCCCCACAAGCUCCGUCAGUGUGUACGGCGCUACGCGUCAGAGGACGCCUUGCACGGCGAGCUGCUGGAUGCUAUGGACCUGUACGGGCGCGGUGCACAACUGCUGCCAACCGCCUUCAUGAAAGCCAUCCGCGAGAUGGACGACGCCCGUAUCCCGCUUGCUGCGGCCCGCUACGCGACGGACACGGUGCAGAGCUUUCUGCUCUUCAGCAACUCCACCGACCUCCUGCAGCACCUUCGCCAGUUUCGAGCCGCCCGCUUCCCUGAGGUGUGCAUCUUCUGCGACUCGUACCACCACCGCAGCGAGGACUGCACCCGCUGCCGCGAGGACGAGCGCGGGUACCUGCAGGAGCUACGUCGCACCGGCCUGACUCUCUGGACGUAUCUGCUGCACCGCGACGCCUAUGACCAGCUGCUGCCGACGGAUUACGCACGCGGCAAGGAGAGCGUGUUGGCGCUUGUUGAACAAUUUGAGACCGACUACCGCCCUGGCGGCGUUGGUCGCUCACGCUUCUUCAAGGAUAACGAUCUGCCCGACAUGACACCAGGAGCCAUGAUAGCGAACACGUACGCGUCCAUCACUGAAACUCCGAUAUCGACGCAGACCCGCGCGGCAGCGGCGGAGACGUCGACCGGGGCAACAGAGACCGCCACGGCCGAGACGGUCGGGGCCGCGGGCGGCGAGGCCGCGCUGAAUGGGGGCGAGGAAGACACUCUCGGCCGCGUCAGCGACAGUAGUGACGAUAAGCACCAAAGUGCACUGGCGAACUGCGCGCUGUCGGAGGAGGGGCAUCCACGAAAAAAGCGGCCCCGCAGCGAUGGUGACGGCGAGCAGGCGGACACGGACGCACGAGCGGGCGAGGAAGCCCGUGUGCGGCAGGAUACGGCGGAGGAGCCGCCCACGGCACGUGUGCACGUGGAACAAGAAGCGUAGUAAGGUGGCACCACAAAAAUGCUGUUUAAGGUGGCGCGCGGAAUAUUGAGGCGACGAUAAUGAGGGCGAUGCUGCUGUUGUUGCGACUCUGUAGGGGUGCCCCUGUGUGUUGGUGUGUGUGCUUGUGUCUGUCGAAGCAAGAGAAGGACAAGGGUAUGUCUGUAUGCAAGAUGUGGUGGCUGUUGGCUUGUUUGCGGGCGCGUAUUAUGGUGUGCAUGCGUAGGCGUGUGCGCGCGCUGCUCGGUUCUCUGCGUCUUUUGUCUUCCUCUUUGUUUGGGAAACGAACCAGCGAAAAUAAGGCAGCGCGUGUGCGCGCGUGUGCGCGCGUACCUCUCUUUG